AACGAACGCUGGCGGCAUGCCUAACACAUGCAAGUCGAACGAGACCUUCGGGUCUAGUGGCGCACGGGUGCGUAGCGCGUGGGAAUCUACCCUUGGGUUCGGAAUAACAGUUAGAAAUGACUGCUAAUACCGGAUGAUGACGUAAGUCCAAAGAUUUAUCGCCCAAGGAUGAGCCCGCGUAAGAUUAGCUUGUUGGUGGGGUAAUGGCCUACCAAGGCGACGAUCUUUAGCUGGCCUGAGAGGAUGAUCAGCCACACUGGGACUGAGACACGGCCCAGACUCCUACGGGAGGCAGCAGUGGGGAAUAUUGGACAAUGGGCGAAAGCCUGAUCCAGCAAUGCCGCGUGAGUGAUGAAGGCCUUAGGGUUGUAAAGCUCUUUUACCAGGGAUGAUAAUGACAGUACCUGGAGAAUAAGCUCCGGCUAACUCCGUGCCAGCAGCCGCAGUAA
Molecule: ribosomal RNA, 449 nt
Filed under: uncultured bacterium
Lineage: Bacteria
Description: partial 16S ribosomal RNA
Rfam family: Bacterial small subunit ribosomal RNA
Source: RNAcentral